UACCAGCUCUUCGAGUGGUGUGGAUGUUUAUUGGGCCUAAAGCAUCCGUAGCUGGCUGGGCAAGUCCCCUGUUAAAUCCACCGAUUUAAUCGUUGGAGUGCGGGGGAUACUGUUCGGCUAGGGGACGGGAGAGGCAGACGGUAUUUUCGGGGUAGGGGUGAAAUCCUAUAAUCCCGGGAAGACCACCAGUGGCGAAGGCUGUCUGCUAGAACGCACCCGACGGUGAGGGAUGAAAGCUGGGGGAGCGAACCGGAUUAGAUACCCGGGUAGUCCCAGCUGUAAACGAUGCAGGCUAGGUGUUUGGGCGGCCACGUGCCGCUCUAGUGCCGCAGGGAAGCCGUUAAGCCUGCCGCCUGGGGAGUACGGCCGCAAGGCUGAAACUUAAGGAAUUGGCGGGGAGCACCACAAGGGUGAAGCUUGCGGUUU
This 426-nucleotide ribosomal RNA is filed under the name uncultured archaeon. Its description in RNAcentral is "bacterial SSU rRNA". It matches the Rfam family "Archaeal small subunit ribosomal RNA", at positions 474 to 903 of the family's 1478-position model. The record is from RNAcentral.